Pogoniulus pusillus (Red-fronted tinkerbird) is the source of this 528-nucleotide long non-coding RNA. RefSeq lists it as uncharacterized. NCBI's taxonomy places the organism in Eukaryota, Metazoa, Chordata, Aves, Piciformes, Lybiidae. The transcript is spliced from 3 exons. The record is from RefSeq and is a predicted model, not a curated record.
ACAGGGAACUGCAGCAGUUUGCCUCAAAACUGUGUUGAUAAGGGUUUGCAAGUCUCACCACACUGCUUCAGACUUCCUCACAGGCCAUCAACCGGUGUCAGACACGACCAGACAGAGGACAACUCCCACUACAAAGCAAAAAGGCUGCUGAAGGUGCCAGUCUCUCACCUAGCCGUGCUCGGAGGUUGCACCACCCUUGCAAUGCUGGCUUUCGCCUACGGUGCUGAGCGGUUACAGCACUCCUGAAGCACUCACAUCAGUAUUGACCAAUACUGACCACUCCAGGAGUUUAUUCUGCUCAAAACCAGAACUGAGAUCUGUAUCCCCAACAUCACUGACCUACAGAUUAAGGGGUUGUGAAUCCAAACCGAGAGGCUCCAGAGCGCCAUUUCAUUAGGUUCAUCUGCUCACGGGCCUUUGGAAAAGGAAGAAAGUAACAAAUCGAAUCUUUUCACAAGCCACUCAGACGAGAAGUGCCUGAACAACCUUCCCCCUCCCCUUCCACACCAAGGGGCAAACUUUAUGUGG